This is an RNA transcript of Piliocolobus tephrosceles (Ugandan red Colobus), 631 nucleotides long. It is a transcript of the gene named anaphase-promoting complex subunit 15 pseudogene, with no coding region annotated. The record is from RefSeq and is a predicted model, not a curated record. Lineage: Eukaryota; Metazoa; Chordata; Mammalia; Primates; Cercopithecidae. The transcript has a single exon.
AUCUAGGAGCCAUGUCCACUUUGUUCCCCUCACUCUUCCCUCGUGUGACUGAGACACUGUGGUUUAAUCUGGAUCGACCCUGUGUGGAAGAGACAGAGCUGCAGCAGCAGGAACAGCAGCAUCAGGCCUGGCACUAUGAUGACGAGGAAGAAGAGGAUGAUGAAGACGAUGAGGAUAGUGAAGAGGACUCAGAGGAUGAUGAGGACAUGCAGGACAUGGACGAGAUGAAUGACUACAAUGAGUCGCCUGAUGACGGAGAGGUCAAUGAGGUGGACAUGGAAGGCAACGAACAGGAUCAGGACCAGUGGAUGAUCUAGGUAGACAAGGCAGGGUGGCCUCAGAGAGAUUCCAAGCCAGCCCAAACUACCCUGCAUCCCAACCCCCAACCCCUGCCCACAGAACCAGCUGAUGGCCCCAGUGCCUGAAAGUCCCUUGGGCACCUCCUCAGCUGCUGCCAGGAUCUGGUCUCCUUGGCCCCUCCCAGGCCAUCGGUCUGCACUUGAAAUCCCCAGGGCCUGAGCCCCACUCCACCUUCCUGGCCAGUACCUCACCCCUUGAUUGCCAGGUCUGGUCUCUUUCUAAGUUUCUUUAAUAAAGACAAAGGAAUGAUUUUCAAAAAAAAAAAAAAAAA